This 579-nucleotide ribosomal RNA is filed under the name Triticum aestivum (bread wheat). RNAcentral describes it as "partial small subunit ribosomal RNA". The record is from RNAcentral. Lineage: Eukaryota; Viridiplantae; Streptophyta; Magnoliopsida; Poales; Poaceae.
AUGGCCUUCCUCCUCCCCAAGCUCAACACACACGUCUUGCAAGCCUCCGGCGGAGCUGCUGCUGCUGGACUCCGUCAAGGGCUCAAGGCGCUGCUAUCCAUCGGCACUCACAAGAAGCUCCUUCGUUGUGUUGAGCUCCAUCGUCGCUAUGACCAACUCCAUCAACGAUACCGCGCUCGAGAGGAUUGUCGUCAGGUCAUCACCGGAGCUGCCGCUGCCGGAGUCCAUGUGUCCGUCAAGGGGCUCGAGGCGCUGCUCUUCAGCGUUUCCAUCACCAUGCAUCCACAGGAAGCUCUGGUUUCCGAAACGGCUUCACAAGAAUUACGGGCUGCCGCGGCGCGGUGGCCGGAGGAGGACGGCCUCGAGGUCCAGCACAUUGGUGAGCCCCUCGCGGCCGCCAUCAUUUGCGUUGUCCUCGAGCACACCGGUGAAGCCUGUAGUCAAGGACGUCGCAGCGGACAGCGGACUCCAGAUGACCAUCUACGCGGCGGCGGGUGGGGUAGCAACAACCCGCCCGCACGCCAAGCUGUUCUUCGGCCGAUGCGCGCGCACACAAUGGCCAUGUUUUUAGUUUACUGA